Cyphomyrmex costatus is the source of this 46-nucleotide non-coding RNA. The record is from Rfam. Lineage: Eukaryota; Metazoa; Arthropoda; Insecta; Hymenoptera; Formicidae.
ACAACGGCCCUUUUCAGGGCCAACAAUUUUUCACACGUCGGGAUUU